GACGAACGCUGGCGGCGUGCUUAACACAUGCAAGUCGAACGGUAAGGCCCUUCGGGGUACACGAGUGGCGAACGGGUGAGUAACACGUGGGUGAUCUGCCCUGCACUUCGGGAUAAGCCUGGGAAACUGGGUCUAAUACCGGAUAGGACCACUGCCUGCAUGGGUGGUGGUGGAAAGCUUUUGCGGUGUGGGAUGGGCCCGCGGACUAUCAGCUUGUUGGUGGGGUGAUGGCCUACCAAGGCGACGACGGGUAGCCGGCCUGAGAGGGUGACCGGCCGCACGGGGGCGGAGAUACGGAGCAGACGCGUACGGGAGGCAGCAGUGUGGGAUAUUGCACAGUGGGCGCAAGCCUGAUGCAGCGACGCAGCGUGAGGGAUGGCGGCGUUCGGGUUGUAACCCUCUUUCAGCAGCGACGAAGCGCAAGUGACGGUAGGUGCAGAAGAAGGACCGGCCAACUACGUGCCAGCCGCCGCCGUAA
This 478-nucleotide ribosomal RNA is filed under the name uncultured bacterium. RNAcentral describes it as "partial 16S ribosomal RNA". It matches the Rfam family "Bacterial small subunit ribosomal RNA", at positions 28 to 523 of the family's 1533-position model. The record is from RNAcentral.